GAUAAAGAAAGGAAUUAAACCAAUGUUUACAGGACUACAGCCUGCCGCCUAGCAUUCGGCCACUCUACC
RNAcentral lists this transfer RNA (69 nucleotides) under Anolis oxylophus. RNAcentral's name for it is "tRNA-Tyr". Lineage: Eukaryota; Metazoa; Chordata; Lepidosauria; Squamata; Anolidae. The record is from RNAcentral.